GACGAACGCUGGCGGCGUGCUUAACACAUGCAAGUCGAACGGAAAGGCCUCUUUCGGGGGGUACUCGAGUGGCGAACGGGUGAGUAACACGUGAGUAGCCUGCCCUUGACUUUGGGAUAACUUCAGGAAACUGGGGCUAAUACCGGAUAGGAGCUCCUGCUGCAUGGUGGGGGUUGGAAAGUUUCGGCGGUUGGGGAUGGACUCGUGGCUUAACAGCUUGUUGGUGGGGUAGUGGCUUACCAAGGCUUUGACGGGUAGCCGGCCUGAGAGGGUGACCGGCCACAUUGGGACUGAGAUACGGCCCAGACUCCUACGGGAGGCAGCAGUGGGGAAUAUUGCACAAUGGGUGGAAGCCUGAUGCAGCAACGCCGUGUGCGGGAUGACGGCCUUCGGGUUGUAAACCGCUUUCGCUCAUGACGAAGCUUUGUGUGACGGUAGUGGGUAAAGAAACACCGGCUAACUACGU
Molecule: ribosomal RNA, 466 nt
Filed under: uncultured bacterium
Lineage: Bacteria
Description: partial 16S ribosomal RNA
Rfam family: Bacterial small subunit ribosomal RNA
Source: RNAcentral